AGGCCAGUAGCUCGAAUUGGUAGAGCAUCGGACUCCAAAUCCGGGUGUUGGGGGUUCGAGUCCCUCCUGGCCUGCCA
Molecule: transfer RNA, 77 nt
Filed under: Desulfosarcina sp. OttesenSCG-928-B08
Lineage: Bacteria; Pseudomonadati; Thermodesulfobacteriota; Desulfobacteria; Desulfobacterales; Desulfosarcinaceae
Also listed under: 1 other name
Description: tRNA-Trp
Rfam family: tRNA
About the family: Transfer RNA (tRNA) molecules are approximately 80 nucleotides in length.
Source: RNAcentral